UGAUCAGCCAUGCCGCGUGUGUGAUGAAGCUCUAGGGUUGUAAAGCACUUUCAGUAGGGAGGAAGGCCACAGGCUUAAUAGUCUUUGGAUUGACGUUUCCUACACAAGCAGCACCGGCUAACUCCGUGCCAGCACCCGCGGUAAUACGGAGGGUGCAAACGUUAAUCGGAAUUACUGGGCGUAAAGCGCGCGUAAGCGGUUUGUUAAAUGUGAUGUGAAAGCCCAGGGCUCAACCUUGGAACUGCAUCACAUACUGGCAGGCUAAAGUACGGGAAAGGGGGGUAGAAUUCCACGUGUACCGAUAAAAUGCGUAGAAAUGUGGAGGAAUACCAGUGUCGAAGGCGGCCCCCUGAAUCGAUACUGACACUGAGGAGCGAAAACGUGGGGAGCAAACACGAUUAAAUACCCUGGUAAUCCAAUCCGUAAACGAUGUCAACUAGCCGUUGGGAGGGUAAUCCUUUUAGUGGCGCAGCUAACGCUCUAAGUUGACCGCCUGGGGAGUACGGUCGCAAGAUUAAAAAC
This 522-nucleotide ribosomal RNA is filed under the name uncultured bacterium. RNAcentral describes it as "bacterial SSU rRNA". It matches the Rfam family "Bacterial small subunit ribosomal RNA", at positions 384 to 900 of the family's 1533-position model. The record is from RNAcentral.